Long non-coding RNA from Calypte anna (Anna's hummingbird), 364 nucleotides. RefSeq lists it as uncharacterized. NCBI's taxonomy places the organism in Eukaryota, Metazoa, Chordata, Aves, Apodiformes, Trochilidae. The record is from RefSeq and is a predicted model, not a curated record. The transcript is spliced from 4 exons.
CCAUGCCCAAGAGCAGACAAAUUGUUAACUUCCUCUGUUUCCAGCCACUUCUCCCUCACCCAGCCUUCAGAACAGCAGGAAGCCAAGAGCAGAAGACAUAAACCCAAGCAUUUGAGCCUGGACCUCACUGUGCUGUUGCAGGAUGGUUGAUGUGGUGCACAGGAAAUGUACUGUUUUUUCAGCUCUUAACUGCUGAUCCACCAGCCAUGAACGUAACAAACUGUUACUGAUGUGUACCUUUAAAAUUGGCCACUAAAGCAAAUUGGGAUCAUCAGAUGAAAAAUACCAUAUGAGUUAUUUCUGAGGGCGAAGAACUGGCCUAGAAGGGGCAAGUCGCCGGGAAUGACCACCUUCCAUGCCCCUU